Magnolia sinica is the source of this 108-nucleotide small nucleolar RNA. The record is from RefSeq and is a predicted model, not a curated record. NCBI's taxonomy places the organism in Eukaryota, Viridiplantae, Streptophyta, Magnoliopsida, Magnoliales, Magnoliaceae.
UAUCCAUGAUGUGUGCAAGAGUUUAAAAGGUCUUUGAAUCUCUCCCAACAUUGGAAGAAAGUCUCUUCAUCUUUUUUGGAAAAAAUUCAUAAUCUCUUGUUUAAUGAA